Molecule: long non-coding RNA, 106 nt
Organism: Melanotaenia boesemani (Boeseman's rainbowfish)
Lineage: Eukaryota; Metazoa; Chordata; Actinopteri; Atheriniformes; Melanotaeniidae
Exons: 3
Source: RefSeq, a predicted model, not a curated record
UACCACAUCUGGAGAAAAAAAACAAAAAAAAAAAAAAAGUUGGUAUAGUCCUUUUUGUUUCAGGGGAAGAUGACCAGGAUAUUGUCUCGGUGAGUAAAAGCAUCAG